CGUACACUCCUGCGGGAGGCAGCAGUGGGGAAUUUUGGACAAUGGGCGAAAGCCUGAUCCAGCCAUGCCGCGUGCAGGAUGAAGGCCUUCGGGUUGUAAACUGCUUUUGUACGGAACGAAACGGCCUUUUCUAAUAAAGAGGGCUAAUGACGGUACCGUAAGAAUAAGCACCGGCUAACUACGUGCCAGCAGCCGCGGUAAUACGUAGGGUGCAAGCGUUAAUCGGAAUUACUGGGCGUAAAGCGUGCGCAGGCGGUUAUGUAAGACAGUUGUGAAAUCCCCGGGCUCAACCUGGGAACUGCAUCUGUGACUGCAUAGCUAGAGUACGGUAGAGGGGGAUGGAAUUCCGCGUGUAGCAGUGAAAUGCGUAGAUAUGCGGAGGAACACCGAUGGCGAAGGCAAUCCCCUGGACCUGUACUGACGCUCAUGCACGAAAGCGUGGGGAGCAAACAGGAUUAGAUACCCUUGUAGUCCCGU
RNAcentral lists this ribosomal RNA (477 nucleotides) under uncultured organism. RNAcentral describes it as "partial 16S ribosomal RNA". It matches the Rfam family "Bacterial small subunit ribosomal RNA", at positions 330 to 800 of the family's 1533-position model. The record is from RNAcentral.